RNAcentral lists this unclassified non-coding RNA (336 nucleotides) under soil metagenome. RNAcentral describes it as "partial contains 5.8S ribosomal RNA, internal transcribed spacer 2, and large subunit ribosomal RNA". The stretch from base 1 to 120 matches the Rfam family "5.8S ribosomal RNA", at positions 35 to 154 of the family's 154-position model. The record is from RNAcentral.
GAUGAAGAACGUAGCGAAAUGCGAUAAGUAGUGUGAAUUGCAGAAUUCAGUGAAUCAUCGAAUCUUUGAACGCACAUUGCGCCCCUUGGUAUCCCGAGGGGCAUGCCUGUUCGAGCGUCAUUUCAACCAUCAAGCCCCCGGCUUGUGUUGGGGACCUGCGGCUGCCGCAGGCCCUGAAAACCAGUGGCGGGCUCGCUGUCACACCGAGCGUAGUAGAUUUUCAUCUCGCUCAGGGCGUGCUGCGGGUUCCGGCCGUAAAAAGCCUUAUUUACCCAAGGUUGACCUCGGAUCAGGUAGGAAGACCCGCUGAACUUAAGCAUAUCAAUAAGCGGAGGA